UGUGCUGUGGUGGGGAUUGUAGUUGAUGAAGACAUAGCCGCGCGACUGGUCGAUGCAGUGGAACAGUGGGUUCCAGUCGAACAUGGCCAGCAUGAAGGUCGGCAGGGUAUUGGCGAGGAACAUCUUGCCCGAGGCGAUCAUGUUGGCGCGCUG
Molecule: non-coding RNA, 153 nt
Filed under: Phaeobacter gallaeciensis
Lineage: Bacteria; Pseudomonadati; Pseudomonadota; Alphaproteobacteria; Rhodobacterales; Roseobacteraceae
Description: Ruegeria cis2 sRNA
Rfam family: Ruegeria cis2 sRNA
About the family: Cis-encoded. Targets ABC transporter.
Source: Rfam by way of RNAcentral